RNAcentral lists this ribosomal RNA (253 nucleotides) under uncultured bacterium. Its description in RNAcentral is "partial 16S ribosomal RNA". It matches the Rfam family "Bacterial small subunit ribosomal RNA", at positions 524 to 776 of the family's 1533-position model. The record is from RNAcentral.
UACGUAGGGAGCAAGCGUUGUCCGGAAUCAUUGGGCGUAAAGCGCGCGUAGGCGGCCCGAUAAGUCCGCUGUGAAAGUCAACGGCUCAACUGUUGAAAGCCGGUGGAUACUGUCGGGCUAGAGUACGGAAGAGGCAAGUGGAAUUCCUGGUGUAGCGGUGGAAUGCGCAGAUAUCAGGAGGAACACCUAUAGCGAAGGCAGCUUGCUGGGACGUUACUGACGCUGAGGAGCGAAAGCGUGGGGAGCGAACAGG